Molecule: long non-coding RNA, 870 nt
Organism: Exaiptasia diaphana
Lineage: Eukaryota; Metazoa; Cnidaria; Anthozoa; Actiniaria; Aiptasiidae
Exons: 2
Source: RefSeq, a predicted model, not a curated record
AGCCAAUGUGCGCGGCAGACAUCUUGGAUUUUGAGCGCGCAAUGUAUCCUGGGAGACUGAGUACUUGUUUACGUUUUUCUCGUCGCUCAUGGAUCUUCAUAGUUUUGUGAAGUAGUUCCUAAAAUGAGCAUAAACUUUGAUAAACAGAAGUUCCAGGUGCUUUUUUCAAAACUCUUUUGAAGCUGCAACUAUUACUGAGCUGAAGCGUUGGUUAAAAUGUCGAGGAGCAUCCGUUAAAGGUCUGAAAAGUGAGCUUGUUGAAAGGUGUGAAAUCUACUCAGCUGAUCCAACAAGGUUUCACAAUGUGAUCGACCCGGAUUUAAUCCAUUCCGACACCAGAAUCUAUUCUUGUAAACUAUCCUAGCGUGAAAGACAACCUCCAAGAUGGCAUACUUUGGACUAGAUCACUUCUUGGUUUGUCCAGUGGUUUUGGGGAGGGAAAAAUAUUUGAACAUCUUGGGCCCGGGAGAUUAAAACACAGAGUUGCUGGGUGAUCAACAUGCUUAUAUCAACGAACAAGAUAUCCAAUCUCGAAGUGAAAGGUAUCGUAGAGCGUACGGGAAGGAUCUCAGUGUAGAGAUCAACAACAUAACUGGGAGAGUGGACGAAGGCCACUGGGGCUAAAGGCAUUUGCAAACAUGUAGCAGCGAUGUUAUUCAAGAAAAUGUGCCUCAAGAUCUCAUUCAAUUAAGUCUGAGCAGAAAGAACAGGUACUUACAGAGCAGAACUACAGUUACUAAUACUAUACUUCCAAGUUUAGACACAGCUUGUUUUUCCUGGGAAUCACCUGGUGUGAUUUCAUGGUAUAUUAUAAAGUUAGUAUCAGAAAUUAUUACAAGAAAGACCUAUGUUUACAAAUAAAUAGUGUGU